Molecule: RNA transcript, 2570 nt
Organism: Papaver somniferum (opium poppy)
Lineage: Eukaryota; Viridiplantae; Streptophyta; Magnoliopsida; Ranunculales; Papaveraceae
Gene name: meiosis-specific protein ASY1-like
Exons: 5
Source: RefSeq, a predicted model, not a curated record
UCUUUUUUCUCAUCCUUCUCUGCUGAAAGCCUAAAACAGAUCUAAUUUUUUUCUCGGCCAUUUUUUCUCCACCAUUUUUUCUCCGUUGAAGAACUGAUAUCUAGGUUUUCUCUCACGUCUUCUCUCUGUUACCAUCUCGCCUCUUCUCUCCAUCUAAUCCAUCUCAUUUCCAUUUUCAUCUCGUCCAUCUCUUCUCUGUUGAGGGAGAGAGUUAUAAGAAAAAGGUGAUAUUUUUACAGAUUAGAUUAAGGUUUGAAUGAGAAUCGAUGAUGGAGAUAAAGAUCUUGAGUCUGAUUUAGAUAAAUGGAAUAGAAUUAGGGAUCGUUUAUGGUCAUGGUGUCGAUCCGUCUGUUGAUUCAAACUCAACAGAAAUGUAAGUUGAAUUUAGGGUUUCUUUAAUUAGCUUUUAUUUUGUGUGAAAUUGAUUUAUAGACUGAUCAAUUAGUGAUGGGUUUGCUUUUAAUUGAAGUUUGGAUGAUGUAUAGGGUUUAAUUUCAGUUUGGAAUUAGGGUUCAUCCCGAAUUAGGUUUUUGGUUAUAAACUUAGACCAGUAUUCUUGAGUUUGAAUGAUAGUGGUGGUUAGAAGAAAAGAUUAAGAAUAACUAAGCUAAUAAAGAUAAAAAGGGUGAGACAAUAGUGGUGGUUAGAAGAAAAGAUUAAGAAUAACUGAGCUAGUGGGAGUUUAGGUUUAAUUUGGUGAAGGGGUUGAAUUACAGGGGACUAUUGGUGGAGUCAAUGAGGAGCUGAAGACGAUAUGGUGGGUAUGUGGUGAAGCUGUAAUUAUAGCUAGGGAUUCCUGCAUUCGGUACCACUAAGCCUUCUUUUCAGAUUUACAUAUUUAUUAUUCUUUUUACAGGUGUGUGAUAAAUUUAGUUACUGUAAAUUUUAACAGAGAUGAAGAUUCCAAAACUCAUGCCUAUAGAUGCUGAAUCCAGAAGGAUUAUUGAUGGGAUGGAAAGCGGUGUUUAUGAUGCAUUACAGAAGAAAUACCUAAGAACACUUCUGUUCUGCAUAUCUGAAGCUAUUGAAGGACCUAUAAUAGAAGAAUAUGUGUGGAUAUUAAAUCUCACUUUUCUUUCAUUUGCUAGAUUUAGUCAUUGAUGAUGAGCUGGGGUUGGAUCUGAUUUUUAGUACUCUUAGUCUUAAAGUAGCCUUAAAUUCUGGUAGGAAAUUGAUAAGAAGUUUAUACUAAUACAUGAAUGGAUUGUAUUGUGCAGUUUCAUUUGGUUAUUCGAAUUCCAACAGCGAAGAUGUUAUGAUGAACAUAAGUCAUACCGGAAACAAGAAACAAGGAGCAACGUUCAGAUCUUAUGGAAAUGCAGACAUUACACCAAAUAAAAUGAGGAGUUCUGCCUCCAUUCUUCAUAGGUUUCUCAGAAGAAGAAGUUAACCAUCCAUGGUUGAAAACCUCUCUCAAAAUGGAAAUCGGAAAUGUUAACAGCAAACAUAUCGUCCUGGCUCUCAAGGUCAAAAGUAUCCUGGUACCAUGUCAAGAUGAAAACAAUGACAUCGAAGAUGAUGAAGCGAUCAGCUUGGGGGUUGAUUCAGUGCCAACAACUGAGCUUCCAAAUCCAGAUAGCGAGUGUAUCAAUUUCAAUCUGGUGGUUGUGAUGGUGGAGUCUCAGAUGAAUGACGAGUUUUGGGUUCUCAACAAUACGAUUCAACUGAGUUUGUGGCUCUGAGAUCUGAAUUUGAGUGAUGGAUGAAACUGCAGCUGUGGAUGUUGAUGAUUGAUAGGGUGGUGUUGAUAUCAGUUUGCAGUUGCAGAUAGAGUAUCAAGGUGGAAUGGCAGGUGCAGCUGGAGCUCAAACGAGUCAGAGAACUGAAUUUCUACAGAAGAAGGGCUCAGAUGGCACCUCAGAGGAGGAUUGGUCUGUGGUUAUGUUGCAGAAUGUGCUGAGAAUGGUGGUAUUGAACUCAUGGAGGUGAAACUGAAGCGUUGGUGGUGAUGUGUGUUGGCUCAGGAAUGAAUCUAGAUGACUGAGAUGGAGAGUGGGAGACGAAGUGCUGAAUGGCUUGCGAUUGUGUUGCCGUGGAAAACAACAAGAUGAGGUGCAGCUGGGUUGCAAGGAUUGAGUAAGGAUUGCAGUCAAGAGUUAAAUGUGUUUGUGGUUAAUUAGCUGGCAUUGCAAGUCUGGAGUGCAGGACAAGUGUUGAAUUCUACAAGCUUAGGGUUGGCAGACUAAUGGAAGUUUGUGUGACUGCAGAAUGAACUUGAGUGGAAGCUUGUAUGUUCUUAAAGCUGCAUCUGAGCUGAAGCUAGAAUUGAAUUGCAGCAGUUGGUGUUUAACUGAUGCUGGUGGUGACUUGGUAAGAAGGCAUGAUGGAGUUGCAGGUGCAGUUGUGCAAAAGUUGGUUUGAGAAGAAGAAGGUAAUGGUGCUGUUACAGCUGAGAGCUGAUGUGGAAUGUGUCUUUGCAGUUGAAUAGUAACCCUUAUUAGAUAAAACUCUGCAGAUAACAUGUGUGCGUGCGUCCUUGGAUUUGUAUUGAUGAACUUUUGUCUGUUCUUCUUUUUCAUUAGAUUUCAAUGACAUGAUGCAAGUUUUGAUAAGUAUAAGUUUUUGGUUCA